GUGUUCUGUUGUUAUAUAGCGGUAAGAUUUAUAUACACUGACUUUGUGACAGAUUAUGGAGUCAGAGCUGGAUGUUCUCAGUCGGUUGUCCAAAGUAGGGCAGGGAACACAGCUAUGCGUCCAGCUCAAGUGAUACAGCAGCGUUACAAGCCUCAGACACGACAGGAUUAAUCCUCUCAGGAUGAAUGAACUUUGUUUCUUUGAGCCAUUAUUAGCAAUCUCCCGCCUUCACCUCUCAGCUAACGUUCUGGUUGGAGAAGUGAGAUAAGCUUGAAAACAAACACACACACACACACACACACACACACACACACACACAAAAUGGCACUGAAAGUCCACGUUCAUCAGUCAGUAGAUCUUACACUUUAUGUUCUCUCUCCAGUCCUCUAGAUUGGGUAAACCAUGGGUAAGAAAGUCUUGCAGUGUUUUCCUUGGUACAAACGCUGUAAAGACCUGGGUAAAAGCAGGCUGUGCCCUCCUCUGCCUGUGCCAUCUGUUGAGGUGCAACCUGGCUUCUCUCCGACAGUCUCCUGGGGUUACGACGGAGAGGAAAGCGCCACACGUCCCGUCUAUUUUUCCCAUAAAGCACGAGUAGUUUAUCGCCACCAGAUGGAAGGAAAUAUUAUUGAUGCCACCUGCUGACCUCUGGGCUUCUUUCCCAGAAUCUCUUGCCUUGUACCUGGCUGUAGACGUCCAGUGUAGAGGAGCGUUGUAGGAGCCUGUUCCAUCAUGUGUAAUUAAACUAAAUAUUUUGUAUUUAGUAAAGAUGUCACAGUGUUUCCUCUGGUUCUUCCACCCUCUUGCCAGACCAUUCACCUGUCUUGUUCUUACUGUGUUGAAAUAUAAUAUAAUGUUUCAAGGGAAACAGAGUGUGCAGGCCACAUGUAAUGGAAAAACAGGAACUGAGCUGGAUUUUUAAAAUACAAAAUGUAAUGUAUAUGUGUUUUGUCGCGCAAAUCUGAUCCUGGAUGUAUGAUUGCUUGUUGUUUUUCAGAUGACAAACCACAGUUGGUUUUUCAGAGGUUUAUGAAUGCAUUUCAGGCAAAAGAAAACAUUUUGUACGAAUCACUGGAAUUAUAAUAUAAAAUGUAUGUACAUUUAGUAAUUAUCGUGAUAUAUUUUGAGUAUAAAAAAGCAGUUUGAGUAUUGAAUAAAAUUGUUUAAAUAU
RNAcentral lists this long non-coding RNA (1168 nucleotides) under Sinocyclocheilus anshuiensis. RNAcentral's name for it is "lncRNA (ENSSANG00000012565.1)". The record is from RNAcentral. Lineage: Eukaryota; Metazoa; Chordata; Actinopteri; Cypriniformes; Cyprinidae.